This is a long non-coding RNA of Alligator mississippiensis (American alligator), 789 nucleotides long. RefSeq lists it as uncharacterized. NCBI's taxonomy places the organism in Eukaryota, Metazoa, Chordata, Crocodylia, Alligatoridae. The transcript is spliced from 2 exons. The record is from RefSeq and is a predicted model, not a curated record.
GUCUCCUGCAAUUGCAAGCAGAACAAAUCUUCCUGUGUGCCUCUCCCAAGGUACAACAGAUGCCUCAGGGGAGGCUGUGUUUGCUCAGCGCUAUGGAGCUGCUUUACCUCUGCACUAUGCAGGCAUAGUGCGCACACAUGCACACACAUGCUCACACACACGGAUCCUGGUGGGACUGUCCAACAGCCUCUUUGCAUCCUUGUACAUGGCAGGACGAGGUGGCAGCUGGGAGCAGUUGGCAAGUGCAUCCCAGGCAGGCUGUCUCAGGCAGUACCUUACCUUGGAAAUCUGUGUCCCAGCCCUGGAGACCCCCGGCAGCGCUCCUGUUCCCAGGUGCUCUGCAGGCUAACUGGAAGGGAAAUGCUAUCUGCACCGAGGUCUCUACCCUGGAUUUCAGGUCCCGCCCGGUGGGUCAUCCUCCUUCCUCUGCUGUUUAGCAAUUGUGAACAACUCCCCCAGAUCAGGAUGGAGGCGAUGGAGGAGGGAGCUGAGACAGCAGCCAGGUGAUGAUAGAAAGGCUUCUGGGUCGUGCAGCCCCUGGAAAGCAAUGACCCCCGCUCUGGGGUGAGUCACGGACGCCGGAGGAGAAGAACUGCUUGGAAGAACAGCUGGUUCUGCCCAGAGUUGCCGCCUUGCCAGAUGUUGUUUCCUGAACAAGAGGCCUCUCCUUCUCCAAGAAGUUGUGUGGACAGCGGGGCUGUUUGGGCAGGCCCUGAGGAGAGUUGACUGCUGUUUUUGAGGAUGAAAUUCAGGAUCCCUGCUGUGUGUAUCAUCUGUGAUUUAAUUCCA